RNAcentral lists this ribosomal RNA (107 nucleotides) under Escherichia coli. Lineage: Bacteria; Pseudomonadati; Pseudomonadota; Gammaproteobacteria; Enterobacterales; Enterobacteriaceae. RNAcentral also lists the same sequence under 1 other name. The record is from RNAcentral.
UUAGCGCGGUGGUCCCACCUGACCCCAUGCCGAACUCAGAAGUGAAACGCCGUAGCGCCGAUGGUAGUGUGGGGUCUCCCCAUGCGAGAGUAGGGAACUGCCAGGCA